GACGAACGCUGGCGGCGUGCUUAACACAUGCCAGUCGAACGAAGAGCGAUGGAAGCUUGCUUCUAUCAAUCUUAGUGGCGAACGGGUGAGUAACGCGUAAUCAACCUGCCCUUCAGAGGGGGACAACAGUUGGAAACGACUGCUAAUACCGCAUACGAUCUAAUCUCGGCAUCGAGGAUAGAUGAAAGGUGGCCUCUACAUGUAAGCUAUCACUGAAGGAGGGGAUUGCGUCUGAUUAGCUAGCUGGAGGGGUAACGGCCCACCAAGGCGAUGAUCAGUAGCCGGUCUGAGAGGAUGAACGGCCACAUUGGGACUGAGACACGGCCCAGACUCCUACGGGAGGCAGCAGUGGGGAAUCUUCCGCAAUGGACGAAAGUCUGACGGAGCAACGCCGCGUGAGUGAUGACGGCCUUCGGGUUGUAAAGCUCUGUUAAUCGGGACGAAAGGCCUUCUUGCGAAUAGUGAGAAGGAUUGACGGUACCGGAAUAGAAAGCCACGGCUAACUACGUG
RNAcentral lists this ribosomal RNA (510 nucleotides) under uncultured bacterium. RNAcentral describes it as "partial 16S ribosomal RNA". It matches the Rfam family "Bacterial small subunit ribosomal RNA", at positions 28 to 507 of the family's 1533-position model. The record is from RNAcentral.